RNAcentral lists this ribosomal RNA (392 nucleotides) under uncultured bacterium. Its description in RNAcentral is "bacterial SSU rRNA". It matches the Rfam family "Bacterial small subunit ribosomal RNA", at positions 30 to 429 of the family's 1533-position model. The record is from RNAcentral.
AUUGAACGCUGGCGGCAUGCCUUACACAUGCAAGUCGAACGGCAGCGGACCUUCGGGUGCCGGCGAGUGGCGAACGGGUGAGUAAUAUAUCGGAACGUACCUUUCAGUGGGGGAUAACGUAGCGAAAGUUACGCUAAUACCGCAUAUUCUGUGAGCAGGAAAGCAGGGGAUCGCAAGACCUUGCGCUGAUUGAGCGGCCGAUAUCAGAUUAGCUAGUUGGUGAGGUAAAGGCUCACCAAGGCGACGAUCUGUAGCGGGUCUGAGAGGAUGAUCCGCCACACUGGAACUGAGACACGGUCCAGACUCCUACGGGAGGCAGCAGUGGGAAUUUUGGACAAUGGGCGCAAGCCUGAUCCAGCCAUGCCGCGUGAGUGAAGAAGGCCUGGUGUAAG